CGCGCACUCGAACGACGACGCGGGACUGAGCCAGGGUCUCUGCGAGUUCCGCGGCCUCACCAAUAAUGGCACUAGCCAGGAAGCGCGUGAGGCCGCGGCGCGUUCGGUGCGGCGGCCGCCGACGUCGUCCGACGUCGCCCGGCCGCCCAGCUGGCGGCGCGGCUGCCGCGGCUCCGUGCGAGCCGUCCGCAGAGGACACGUGCAAUCACAAGCAAACACCUAUUUAGAUUUACAAGCGAGAUGACAAAUUUAUAGCGACUGGCACACAAACAAUAUAAAACGUCCAAACAAACAUUAAUCAUAAUAAUUGUAAUUUAGUUGUUAAGUACUCGUAUGUAGUUGAUCCACCUGUUUUAUUAACAUAGUUAUCAUGUUUAAAAUAUGCUUCAGUGUUGGGUUUUCAAGGGCAGUGUUAUUCGUUCACCAAAACACUUUUCCGUUACUUCUUUAUAUGAUAGGAUAAUACCUUAUAACAAAUAGGACAAUGUAACGUGUGAGAAAAAAAACUUUUUUUAAACUGACAUUGCUACUAGAGUUAUAGCGACAAUAAGUUGAGUUUUUGUAUAUAGUUUUUAAGUUUCGUCACUUUUGCAAAUAAGUUUUUGUUUAGUCUAACAAGAAUUAGUCAGCAAGGCUAGGGUUAAUGUUAACAGUUAGUGAAACCAAUAUUUUUUAAGUGUUUUUUUCUUUUUUCUGAUAGUGUUCUAGUUGUUACAGUGCUUAUGAAAGUUUAUUUUUAUUUUCUUUUUCAAAUUUUUAACAAUAUAUAACUUUGGUUUACUUU
This is a long non-coding RNA of Pectinophora gossypiella (pink bollworm), 784 nucleotides long. RefSeq lists it as uncharacterized. The record is from RefSeq and is a predicted model, not a curated record. The transcript has 4 exons. Lineage: Eukaryota; Metazoa; Arthropoda; Insecta; Lepidoptera; Gelechiidae.